GGAAGGUGAUCAAAGAUAUGCAGAAUAUGAUGAGUUCUUGGUACGAAGUGAAAGGGAACUGUAUAAAAUGAGUUAUAAAACGUACAAGGGUAACGCAGGGGACUCUCUUUCAACCCACAAUAACAUGAUGUUUUCCACCAGGGACAGAGAUAAUGAUAAAUGGGAG
Long non-coding RNA from Limulus polyphemus (Atlantic horseshoe crab), 166 nucleotides. RefSeq lists it as uncharacterized. NCBI's taxonomy places the organism in Eukaryota, Metazoa, Arthropoda, Merostomata, Xiphosura, Limulidae. The transcript is spliced from 2 exons. The record is from RefSeq and is a predicted model, not a curated record.